GGCCAGAUGUAAAGAGCCCCUAUAAAUCUCUAUCAAUUAUAACAAUGCACUAUCUGUACAUAGACUACAAAGAAGGCCUGAAAUUAGGGCUGCACGAUUAAUCGAAUGCGAUUGUCAUGCGUGUCUCAUCAGUAAAGAUGGUUCUGUGAUUAGCGGUAAAUGUCCAUCAGCUGCUUUCAAAUGGAGCCGCACCUAAUAUACAGAGCCGUAGAUCGUUGACAAGCUACACUGUUAGCAAUUGAUGUAAUUUUUACAAUAAAUUUUACAACAACGCACUGUAUUCAUGUUUUUGUUGUAAAUGCAAAUGCAUGAUGGGAAAUUAACGGACAGUCCUGUAAAAUUAUUGUAACUACACUGUAGAAGCAUUUUUUUACAGCAACCGCAUAGCAUUGUGGGAUCGCUGCUGUUUGAAUUUUGAAAUUACGCGGCCAACGGACGGUACUUUUUGGAAGAAAGAACAUGUCUCAGGUAUGUAACAUAACAUUUGUUUUAUAAGUCUUUAUAUAUUAAUACUGGUGAUCUGAGUGAGUGCUGAUUGUUUCAUUUGGUAUAAUUCGGUGGAAUAGGGUGAAGUUAGUUAAAAUCGCGUCUUCAUACUCUAUCCAGAUUUACAUCGCAAGAACUUUACCCAGAAACUAUGGACUUUGGGCUGGAACUCGGUGUGCUUCCACCGCAGCUACCAUGAUCUAAAUAAAGUUCUGGGUAAAAAAAAAAUGCCCCUCAGAAAGUCCCUGCUCGGGAGGUACUUGUUCAAAGGUAACGUUACUGAACUUUCGGGAGUGGCAAUGCAGCAUUGUAGUUUCAACCACCAUUUCUUUUGAUAAUUUUUAAAAUAUUACUGUCAUCGUGUCAUGAAAGGAGAGGCACUAAGUGCAGACAAAUGGAUGAUGUCUUUGGAAGGGACAACUGUGAUGGUGCCCCACAACAACCUUCUGAAUGGAGUGCAGCGACCUUCGCUGUCUACGUUUUUAACUAACAGUAUCCUAAAGAGGCCUCAAGCACUAAAGAGCUUUUUGUGGAAUCAAUUCCAAGAUGUCAGCAAAGCAGAGAAGAGACGGGGGAUCAACGCACCUGUCUACACACUAUUAAGAAGACUCCUGGGCUUUGAGUUGAUGGGCUAG
This 1121-nucleotide long non-coding RNA is filed under the name Carassius auratus (goldfish). RNAcentral describes it as "lncRNA (ENSCARG00000045231.1)". Lineage: Eukaryota; Metazoa; Chordata; Actinopteri; Cypriniformes; Cyprinidae. The record is from RNAcentral.